AGAUUGAACGCUGGCGGCAUGCCUUACACAUGCAAGUCGAACGGCAGCACGGGAGCAAUCCUGGUGGCGAGUGGCGAACGGGUGAGUAAUAUAUCGGAACGUGCCCGGUCGUGGGGGAUAACGUAGCGAAAGCUACGCUAAUACCGCAUACGAUCUACGGAUGAAAGUGGGGGAUCGCAAGACCUCAUGCUCAUGGAGCGGCCGAUAUCUGAUUAGCUAGUUGGUGGGUAAGGGCCUACCAAGGCUUCGAUCAGUAGCUGGUCUGAGAGGACGACCAGCCACACUGGAACUGAGACACGGUCCAGACUCCUACGGGAGGCAGCAGUGGGGAAUUUUGGACAAUGGGCGAAAGCCUGAUCCAGCAAUGCCGCGUGCAGGAAGAAGGCCUUCGGGUUGUAAACUGCUUUUGUACGGAACGAAAAGGCUCUUUCUAAUAAAGAGGGCCCAUGACGGUACCGUAAGAAUAAGCACCGGCUAACUACGUG
RNAcentral lists this ribosomal RNA (485 nucleotides) under uncultured bacterium. RNAcentral's name for it is "bacterial SSU rRNA". It matches the Rfam family "Bacterial small subunit ribosomal RNA", at positions 26 to 507 of the family's 1533-position model. The record is from RNAcentral.